Molecule: ribosomal RNA, 451 nt
Filed under: uncultured bacterium
Lineage: Bacteria
Description: partial 16S ribosomal RNA
Rfam family: Bacterial small subunit ribosomal RNA
Source: RNAcentral
GUGGGGAAUCUUCCGCAAUGGACGAAAGUCUGACGGAGCAACGCCGCGUGAGUGAAGAAGGCCUUCGGGUCGUAAAGCUCUGUCAUCAGGGACGAACGGCCGGUGGAGUGGAAAGCCACCGGAUUGACGGUACCAUACGAGGAAGCCCCGGCAAACUACGUGCCAGCAGCCGCGGUAAUACGUAGGGGGCAAGCGUUGUCCGGAAUGAUUGGGCGUAAAGGGCGCGUAGGCGGCCUGGUAAGGCUGGAGUGAAAGUCCUGCUUUUAAGGUGGGAAUUGCUUUGGAUACUGUCGGGCUUGAGUGCAGGAGAGGUAAGUGGAAUUCCCGGUGUAGCGGUGAAAUGCGUAGAGAUCGGGAGGAACACCAGUGGCGAAGGCGACUUUCUGGACGAUGUCUGACGCUGAGGCGCGAAAGCUAGGGGAGCGAACGGGAUUAGAUACCCGUGUAGUCC